RNAcentral lists this ribosomal RNA (432 nucleotides) under uncultured bacterium. RNAcentral's name for it is "partial 16S ribosomal RNA". It matches the Rfam family "Bacterial small subunit ribosomal RNA", at positions 29 to 506 of the family's 1533-position model. The record is from RNAcentral.
AACGAACGCUGGCGGCAUGCCUAACACAUGCCAGUCGAACGAGACCUUCGGGUCUAGUGGCGCACGGGUGCGUAACGCGUGGGAACCUGCCCUUAGGUUCGGAAUAACUCCCCGAAAGGGGUGCUAAUACCGGAUAAUGUCUUCGGACCAAAGAUUUAUCGCCUUUGGAUGGGCCCGCGUUGGAUUAGCUAGUUGGUAGGGUAAAAGCCUACCAAGGCGACGAUCCAUAGCUGGUCUGAGAGGAUGAUCAGCCACACUGGGACUGAGACACGGCCCAGACUCCUACGGGAGGCAGCAGUGGGGAAGAUUGGACAAUGGGCGAAAGCCUGAUCCAGCAAUGCCGCGUGAGUGAUGAAGGCCUUAGGGUUGUAAAGCUCUUUUACCCGGGAUGAUAAUGACAGUACCGGGAGAAUAAGCUCCGGCUAACUCCGU